UUCGGUAAUGAUUCUUGGAUAUCUUAGUGGCGGACGGGUGAGUAACGCGUGAGCAACCUGCCUUUCAGAGGGGGAUAACGUUUGGAAACGAACGCUAAUACCGCAUGAUAUUAUUGAGCUGCAUGGCUUGAUAAUCAAAGGAGUAAUCCGCUGAAAGAUGGGCUCGCGUCCGAUUAGGUAGUUGGCGGGGCAACGGCCCACCAAGCCGACGAUCGGUAGCCGGACUGAGAGGUUGAACGGCCACAUUGGGACUGAGACACGGCCCAGACUCCUACGGGAGGCAGCAGUGAGGGAUAUUGGUCAAUGGGGGAAACCCUGAACCAGCAACGCCGCGUGAGGGAAGACGGUUUUCGGAUUGUAAACCUCUGUCCUCUGUGAAGAUAACGACGGUAGCAGAGGAGGAAGCUCCGGCUAACUACGUGCCAGCAGCCGCGGUAAUACGUAGGGAGCAAGCGUUGUCCGGAUUUACUGGGUGUAAAGGGUGCGUAGGCGGCUUUGCAAGUCAGAAGUGAAAUCCAUGGGCUUAACCCAUGAACUGCUUUUGAAACUGCAGAGCUUGAGUGGAGUAGAGGUAGGCGGAAUUCCCGGUGUAGCGGUGAAAUGCGUAGAGAUCGGGAGGAACACCAGUGGCGAAGGCGGCCUGCUGGGCUCUAACUGACGCUGAGGCACGAAAGCGUGGGUAGCAAACAGGAUUAGAUACCCUGGUAGUCCACGCUGUAAACGAUGA
RNAcentral lists this ribosomal RNA (727 nucleotides) under uncultured bacterium. Its description in RNAcentral is "bacterial SSU rRNA". It matches the Rfam family "Bacterial small subunit ribosomal RNA", at positions 75 to 812 of the family's 1533-position model. The record is from RNAcentral.